GUGGGGAAUUUUCCGCAAUGGGCGAAAGCCUGACGGAGCAACGCCGCGUGGGUGAUGAAGAUUUUCGGAUCGUAAAGCCCUUUCAGCAGGGACGAAUACAAUGACGGUACCUGCAGAAGAAGCAUCGGCUAACUACGUGCCAGCAGCCGCGGUAAUACGUAGGAUGCAAGCGUUGUCCGGAAUUAUUGGGCGUAAAGCGAACGUUAGGCGGUUACUUAAGUUUGGUCUUAAAGACCGGGGGCUCAACUUCCGGGGAAUGGACUGAAUACUGGGUGACUAGAGGAUGUCAGAGGAAAGUGGAAUUCCAAGUGUAGCGGUGAAAUGCGUAGAUAUUUGGAGGAACACCAGUGGCGAAAGCGGCUUUCUGGGACAUUCCUGACGCUGAGGUUCGAAAGCUCGGGGAGCAAACAGGAUUAGAUACCCUGGUAGUCCGAGCCGUAAACGAUGGACACUAGGUGUCGGGGGUAUCGACCCCCCCGGUGCCGUAGCUAACGCGUUAAGUGUCCCGCCUGGGGAGUACGGUCGCAAGACUG
This 533-nucleotide ribosomal RNA is filed under the name uncultured bacterium. RNAcentral's name for it is "bacterial SSU rRNA". It matches the Rfam family "Bacterial small subunit ribosomal RNA", at positions 354 to 896 of the family's 1533-position model. The record is from RNAcentral.